This is a long non-coding RNA of Pangasianodon hypophthalmus (striped catfish), 297 nucleotides long. RefSeq lists it as uncharacterized. The record is from RefSeq and is a predicted model, not a curated record. The transcript is spliced from 3 exons. NCBI's taxonomy places the organism in Eukaryota, Metazoa, Chordata, Actinopteri, Siluriformes, Pangasiidae.
AGGGAUUAGCAUGAGCUCGGUCAAAGGGAUUGAUGUGGGAUCAGGUGUGUGGGAUCAGGUGUGAGAUCAGUCAGGGACUGAUGUGGGAUCAGGUGUGAGGGAUCAGGUGUGUGGGAUCAGGUGUGGGGGAUCAGGUGUGGGGGAUCAGGUGUGUGAGAUCAGUCAGGGACUGAUGUGGGAUCAGGUGUGGGAUCAGGUGUGAGAUCAGUCAGGGACUGAUGUGGGAUCAGGUGUGUGGGAUCAGGUGUGUGGGAUCAGGUGUGUGGGAUCAGUCAGGGACUGAUGUGGGAUCAGGUG